GACAGAGGGUGCAAACGUUGUUCGGAUUUACUGGGCGUAAAGGGCGUGCAGGCGGUCUGUUAAGUUCAGGGUGAAAGCUCCCGGCUCAACUGGGAGAGGUCCUUGGAUACUGGCAGACUUGAGGGAGGUAGAGGAGAGUGGAAUUCCCGGUGUAGUGGUGAUAUGCGUAGAUAUCGGGAGGAACACCAGUGGCGAAGGCGGCUCUCUGGGCCUUUCCUGACGCUGAGACGCGAAAGCGUGGGGAGCGAACCGG
Molecule: ribosomal RNA, 253 nt
Filed under: uncultured bacterium
Lineage: Bacteria
Description: partial 16S ribosomal RNA
Rfam family: Bacterial small subunit ribosomal RNA
Source: RNAcentral